GACAUGGCGAAACGGUAUCGCGUCCGCACUUCUUAAGUCUCAAUGAAGUAGUUCGGCGGAAGUCCCUGGUUCGACUCCAGGUUAGGUCA
Mycena latifolia is the source of this 89-nucleotide non-coding RNA. NCBI's taxonomy places the organism in Eukaryota, Fungi, Basidiomycota, Agaricomycetes, Agaricales, Mycenaceae. The record is from the annotation of a GenBank genome assembly.